GGAGCAGAAAGGUAGUCAUAUCUGAAGGAUGCAGUAUAUAUAUUUUGUGUAAUUCAGUCAGGCGAAAGAUAAUAGUCAAAGACCUGUUAAAUGGUUAGCAGGGACGAGAAAAGUCAGGCAUGCAAUACCUGGGAUGCGUGCCAACUACCGACAAAAGACUCCAAAGCAUGCUCACAAGAAACGUUUCCAUUUGUCUUUUUCGUGCUUGCUUUUUUAUUUAUGGAAGCAUCUGCAAUUGUGACGAAAAACCCCUGCAACUCACAGCUGGUACAUCAAGUCAUAGAAGCACGGGGCAAACCAACGUGUUCUCCAGUCCGCGCCCAAGUUUCGCCAUGACCCUUUCGGCUUCAGUCUCCUGAGAUCCUCACCCUCUCACCUUAUACCCAUCACACCUCCAGGAAAUGGAGUUUGCUUACCAGGAGAUAACCUCUUUUUUGAUGCUGUCCUUGGGGCUGAGGUAGUAGAUUGAAUAGUUGUGGGGAAUCAUUCCUUCUUGUGUGAUAACUAUACAAUCUACUGUCUUUCCUAAGGAGACAGCCGAAUCACCCAUAAGAAAAAGACUACAGGUGGAACUGCACAAAUAAAAAGCCAAGGACAAGAUGGACUGGCAUUCAAAAGGGCAAAGAGGGCAUUUUGAUACUCAGAAAUGUUUGAUGGCCUUAUUACUGUAGUAUAUACUGGAGUGCUCAUAAAUAGAAAAGAGUUGAACUAUAUUAUUUUA
Molecule: long non-coding RNA, 721 nt
Organism: Polypterus senegalus (gray bichir)
Lineage: Eukaryota; Metazoa; Chordata; Cladistia; Polypteriformes; Polypteridae
Exons: 3
Source: RefSeq, a predicted model, not a curated record